UCUGAGUUCAAAGAUUUAUCGCUGAAAGAGGCCUCGCGUCUGAUUAGCUGGUUGGUGAGGUAACGGCCCACCAAGGCGACGAUCAGUAGCCGGACUGAGAGGUUGACCGGCCACAUUGGGACUGAGAUACGGCCCAGACUCCUACGGGAGGCAGCAGUGGGGAAUAUUGGGCAAUGGGCGCAAGCCUGACCCAGCAACGCCGCGUGAAGGAAGAAGGCUUUCGGGUUGUAAACUUCUUUUAAGAGGGAAGAGCAGAAGACUGUACCUCUAGAAUAAGCCACGGCUAACUACGUGCCAGCAGCCGCGGUAAUACGUAGGUGGCAAGCGUUGUCCGGAUUUACUGGGUGUAAAGGGCGUGCAGCCGGGAAUGCAAGUCAGAUGUGAAAUCCAUGGGCUUAACCCAUGAACUGCAUUUGAAACUGUAUUUCUUUGAGUACUGGAGAGGCAAUCGGAAUUCCUAGUGUAGCGGUGAAAUGCGUAGAUAUUAGGAGGAACACCAGUGGCGAAGGCGGAUUGCUGGACAGCAACUGACGGUGAGGCGCGAAAGUGUGGGGAGCAAACAGGAUUAGAUACCCUGGUAGUCCACACUGUAAACGAUGAAUACUAGGUGUGCGGGGACUGACCCCCUGCGUGCCGCAGUUAACACAAUAAGUAUUCCACCUGGGGAGUA
This 670-nucleotide ribosomal RNA is filed under the name uncultured bacterium. RNAcentral describes it as "bacterial SSU rRNA". It matches the Rfam family "Bacterial small subunit ribosomal RNA", at positions 194 to 882 of the family's 1533-position model. The record is from RNAcentral.